GACGAACGCUGGCGGCGUGCUUAACACAUGCAAGUCGAACGGAAAGGCCCUGCUUGCAGGGUACUCGAGUGGCGAACGGGUGAGUAACACGUGGGUGAUCUGCCCUGCACUUCGGGAUAAGCCUGGGAAACUGGGUCUAAUACCGGAUAGGAGCCAUUUUUAGUGUGAUGGUUGGAAAGUUUUUUCGGUGUAGGAUGAGCUCGCGGCCUAUCAGCUUGCUGGUGGGGUAAUGGCCUACCAAGGCGGCGACGGGUAGCCGGCCUGAGAGGGUGGACGGCCACAUUGGGACUGAGAUACGGCCCAGACUCCUACGGGAGGCAGCAGUGGGGAAUAUUGCACAAUGGGCGCAAGCCUGAUGCAGCGACGCCGCGUGGGGGAUGACGGCCUUCGGGUUGUAAACUCCUUUCGCUAGGGACGAAGCUUUUUGUGACGGUACCUAGAUAAGAAGCACCGGCUAACUACGUG
RNAcentral lists this ribosomal RNA (465 nucleotides) under uncultured bacterium. Its description in RNAcentral is "partial 16S ribosomal RNA". It matches the Rfam family "Bacterial small subunit ribosomal RNA", at positions 28 to 507 of the family's 1533-position model. The record is from RNAcentral.